AUGGACGAAAGUCUGAUGGAGCAACGCCGCGUGAGCGAUGAAGGCCUUCGGGUCGUAAAGCUCUGUUGUUAGGGAAGAACAAGUACCGGAGUAACUGCCGGUACCUUGACGGUACCUAACCAGAAAGCCACGGCUAACUACGUGCCAGCAGCCGCGGUAAUACGUAGGUGGCAAGCGUUGUCCGGAAUUAUUGGGCGUAAAGCGCGCGCAGGCGGUCCUUUAAGUCUGAUGUGAAAGCCCACGGCUCAACCGUGGAGGGUCAUUGGAAACUGGGGGACUUGAGUGCAGAAGAGGAAAGCGGAAUUCCACGUGUAGCGGUGAAAUGCGUAGAGAUGUGGAGGAACACCAGUGGCGAAGGCGGCUUUCUGGUCUGUAACUGACGCUGAGGCGCGAAAGCGUGGGGAGCAAACAGGAUUAGAUACCCUGGUAGUCCACGCCGUAAACGAUGAGUGCUAAGUGUUAGGGGGUUUCCGCCCCUUAGUGCUGCAGCUAACGCAUUAAGCACUCCGCCUGGGGA
This 517-nucleotide ribosomal RNA is filed under the name denitrifying bacterium M918. RNAcentral describes it as "bacterial SSU rRNA". It matches the Rfam family "Bacterial small subunit ribosomal RNA", at positions 371 to 879 of the family's 1533-position model. The record is from RNAcentral.